CUUGCAUAUAGGGAGAUAUGAAAGGGUCGUCAGGAACUCUGGUUGCGUCGGUGCUGGCGGCGUCCACUGUUGCUCUAAGCUCUUCCACCUCUUCCUCCGGCAGAGAUCGCCAUGCUGCUGUUUUCUAUCCUUCCUGCAAUGAGAUUCAGGGAUUUUCUUCCUUCUCGGGGAAAAACAAUGCACCCAAGGAGAAAUUCACGCCCAGAUUCGACGGAUUGAGGUUCAUAGAGACGUUGGUGACAGCCCACAGAUGACCUGCAAGUUGCGUCCUUUUUUUUUUUUUUUUUUUUUUCCAAUUGUGGUGUGCGGUUAUUUGUUUGGGUAAAAUAGGGAGGCCCUUAACUAGUAUUUGAGGUGUAAUCACAGAGACAUUUUCGUUCGUUUUGGUUAUUGAGUCGUUUUUACGAUCGAUUGGGUGUUUUCACAGCGACAAACGCUUUGUUCUGCAAUUUGUUCUGAAAAAAUAUCUAGUGUAUGAAUAUGAAGCGUUUUUUAACUCAUACCUUUACCAUUGAAUCAAACGGCAGUAUGCGCUUGCGCUUUUUUGGGUGUACAUGAAAGAGUCCUUGUAAUUGUUAAAUAUAUAUAUAUAUAUAUAUAGUAAAGGUUGAAUGAAUUUUGAAA
Ziziphus jujuba (common jujube) is the source of this 624-nucleotide long non-coding RNA. RefSeq lists it as uncharacterized. The record is from RefSeq and is a predicted model, not a curated record. The transcript is spliced from 2 exons. Lineage: Eukaryota; Viridiplantae; Streptophyta; Magnoliopsida; Rosales; Rhamnaceae.